GGGACCUCCGAGACAGAGGCUACAUCCCACUCAAAGGUCAGGAAAUUUUCGCUUCAAAUUAACCACGAAAAAUCAAUCUUCAAAUUAGUUAACGAAUUCUGCAAAUUUCUCUGUCACCGUCAGAUGCGAGCUACCUGACGAACGGCUACCUGGAGCGGGUGCUGCGGCACGGCGCCAUGGGGUGCUUCGCGACGCACAACGACUGGAACUCCACCAGCGAGAGCUUGGCCGCCGGCGUGCCCAUGGUGUGCUGGCCUGACGUGCGGGCCCCACCUGUAAGAAAUAGUGUCAAACGAGUUUAAACCCGUGUUUUGGGUGGACUGAGACAAUUGGACACAAAAGUUGUGGUUCUGUGGACACAUUAGCUCUACCGGUGCUCCGUGAGAAGGCUGCCUCAAAAUCCGUGGUUCUAUGAAAUUUACUCUUAUUAUUGCAACAUG
RNAcentral lists this long non-coding RNA (440 nucleotides) under Brachypodium distachyon (stiff brome). RNAcentral describes it as "long non-coding RNA (BDIS_LNC001304)". The record is from RNAcentral. Lineage: Eukaryota; Viridiplantae; Streptophyta; Magnoliopsida; Poales; Poaceae.